UACGGGGGGGGCAAGCGUUGUUCGGAAUUACUGGGCGUAAAGGGCUCGUAAGCGGCCAACUAAGUCGGAUGUGAAAUCCCCAGGCUUAACCUGGGAACUGCAUCCGAUACUGGAUGGCUUGAAUCCGGGAGAGGGAUGCAGAAUUCCAGGUGUAGCGGUGAAAUGCGUAGAUAUCUGGAGGAAUACCGGUGGCGAAGGCGGCAUCCUGGACCGGCAUUGACGCUGAUGAGCGAAAGCUAGGGGAGCAAACGGG
This 253-nucleotide ribosomal RNA is filed under the name uncultured bacterium. RNAcentral describes it as "partial 16S ribosomal RNA". It matches the Rfam family "Bacterial small subunit ribosomal RNA", at positions 524 to 776 of the family's 1533-position model. The record is from RNAcentral.